UUAUAUGUACGAACCUCUAACCCCCCUCCCAAUCGUCUCUCUCAUCCCCUCUCUUCAGAGACUAGAACCCUAAUCCACCGCCACCAUUCCCCCACCGCCUUAGGGUGGUGACGCCACCUCCAAUCCCUCCCAAAUUAACAUCACAGAACCAUCAAGACCCCCUCAUACUAAAUCCACCAUUUAUCUCCCUCAAAUCCUCUUUAAACUCUUCGAAUCUUAAAUCCCAAAUCUGGGUUCUAAGAGCCAAAUCUAAACUUGGGUGUGCAUGGUGAUUGUUCCAACCCUCAUGAGUUUUAAAGCCGGUUUUGUCACGAAAUAGUAUUGUUCACUUGUUUUUAGCAAAGAACAAGUGACUAACAUUAUUUGGGGAUGAAGUUGGAGUGUCAGGUCUCGAGGUCGAGCUUAGCCGGUGAGUUCCAUUUCUUUUUGGGUCUGUUUCUAGUUCCAUUUUUCAUUUAUUGCCCUCUUCUUUCUUUUUCUUUUCCUUAUUUAAAAUUUCACCAAAUAUUUGGCCGAGUUUGGGACCUAUCCGUUUGAUCUUCGUUGGUUUUUCUUUUUGUUCAUUUUUCAAGACUGUCCUAUUUAAUUUGUUUAUUUUCUGUUGAUUAAAUCGCAUAAUUUUUGUUCUAAUUAGUCACCUAGUUAAUUAAGCCUAUAAACUAGUUAAUUUCCUACUGUUGUUUAGGUUAAUUAGUUCUUAAAUUGGGAAUCCUUGUUUGAUUUCAAUUGGACUCUGAAAAUCAGAAGCCCAAGAGGGAACUAAACUUGGGUUACAAACCCAUAUCAAAUUAGGCCAUUGGGCCAACUUAACCCAUGUAAUUUUCUGAGGGUAAUUUCAAGAGUUCAAGGGGGUAGUUUAGGAACUCUAGGUAGGGAAUCUUUGUAUAACCGAACUGGAAGCUUCUAGGAAGCUGGGGUGGGGGCAUUUCUGAAUUUCUGAGUUUUACACUAAGGAUCUUUAAGCUAAAAUGAAAAUUUCAGAAGGGUCAAAAAUGAAAAUCUGAUCCCUUAAGGCAGCUCUAAAUUCCUUGCACAUAAAGUCUCUCUAACUUGUCAUUCAAGGAGGGAUUAAGAGAAAAAAAGAUCAAAAAAAUUGAAGAGGCUGAGUUCUUUUUUUGGAAAAUUCUGAAUUCCUCACAAUAUUUGUUUAGAAAAAUUGCUAAAAGUUUGCUCAUUUUUGGAGUCGUCUGAUUUCAUUUGGUGAACAAAACUUCUGAAAAUCAUAGUUUCUCAUCUUGGGGUUUGAAAUGGACUGAAGUUGUGUUUUGAAAAAUUCUGGAUCAAGCUUUGUUAUGGGUUUACUAUUUCAUUGAAUUUUUGAGCUGAUCUCACUGUGUUUACUGGUUGAAUCUGGGCUAGCUGUUACUGAUCACUGCUGAUCCUUCAUUUUCUGUUUUAUUUUGCUUACUAGGUAUUUCCCUUCUCCUUGAUAUGUGAAAUGGGAGAACAAGAGAUUAUAUGAAUGAAUGGCAAGUUAUUUGAAUGAAGGAGUUUUACAAUGUUGAGAAUAGAAUCAUAUUUUGUAAUUAACUUAGUUUUUUAAUUAUAUUUGAUCCUCCUUAUUUAGUUGUAAGUGUUCUUUAUAAUGUUGGGUGAACUAUGAAUUUUAGCCCCUUGAUAUGAAUGAGUUCGAAUCAUAUAGUCUAGGAAUGGCUAUUAAAAUAUGGCAAAGAAAGAUUUAAUUCACAUGGUGUGGAUUUUGUUUUGUGAUUUCUGCCGAUGACUAGUUUUGUUCUAACAUCAAUUUCCAUUUUUGCAUCUGUUUAAAUGUUGAGUAAUGGUUUUAAGUUCAUGUUGACCUACUGGUGAGAUAUUUUUGGG
Molecule: long non-coding RNA, 1821 nt
Filed under: Nicotiana tabacum (common tobacco)
Lineage: Eukaryota; Viridiplantae; Streptophyta; Magnoliopsida; Solanales; Solanaceae
Description: long non-coding RNA (NTAB_LNC000159)
Source: RNAcentral